UACCCUUGGUCAGGUUGAAGUUCAGGUAACACUGAAUGGAGGACCGAACCGACUUACGUUGAAAAGUGAGCGGAUGAACUGAGGGUAGCGGAGAAAUUCCAAUCGAACCUGGAGAUAGCUGGUUCUCUCCGAAAUAGCUUUAGGGCUAGCCUCAAGUGAUGAUUAUUGGAGGUAGAGCACUGUUUGGACGAGGGGCCCCUCUCGGGUUACCGAAUUCAGACAAACUCCGAAUGCCAAUUAAUUUAACUUGGGAGUCAGAACAUGGGUGAUAAGGUCCGUGUUCGAAAGGGAAACAGCCCAGACCACCAGCUAAGGUCCCAAAAUAUAUGUUAAGUGGAAAAGGAUGUGGCGUUGCCCAGACAACUAGGAUGUUGGCUUAGAAGCAGCCAUCAUUUAAAGAGUGCGUAAUAGCUCACUAGUCGAGUGACACUGCGCCGAAAAUGUACCGGGGCUAAACAUAUUACCGAAGCUGUGGAUUGUCCUUUGGACAAUGGUAGGAGAGCGUUCUAAGGGCGUUGAAGCAUGAUCGUAAGGACAUGUGGAGCGCUUAGAAGUGAGAAU
RNAcentral lists this ribosomal RNA (561 nucleotides) under Staphylococcus aureus. RNAcentral's name for it is "partial 23S ribosomal RNA". It matches the Rfam family "Bacterial large subunit ribosomal RNA", at positions 731 to 1295 of the family's 2925-position model. The record is from RNAcentral. Lineage: Bacteria; Bacillati; Bacillota; Bacilli; Caryophanales; Staphylococcaceae.